GGAGGGAUCAUUACAGAGAACAUCGCCCGCGAGGGUGACUCUCCAACCCUAUGUUAAUUAUACCUUUGUUGCUUUGGCGAGCCGCUCCGGCCACCGGCUUCUCGCUGGUGAGUGCUCGCCAGAGGACCCUAAACUCUGUUUAUACAUGUCGUCUGAGUACUAUAUAAUAGUUAAAACUUUCAACAACGGAUCUCUUGGUUCUGGCAUCGAUGAAGAACGCAGCGAAAUGCGAUAAGUAAUGUGAAUUGCAGAAUUCAGUGAAUCAUCGAAUCUUUGAACGCACAUUGCGCCCUGUGGUAUUCCGCAGGGCAUGCCUGUUCGAGCGUCAGUACAACACUCAAGCCUAGCUUGGUCUUGGGCCUCGCCGGAAACGGCGGGCCUUAAAAUCAGUGGCGGCGCCUCUCGGGCCCUAAGCGUAGUAAUACUCCUCGCUACAGGGACCCGGUGGACGCUGGCCAGCAACCCCCAACUUUCUAAGUUUGACCUCGGAUCAGGUAGGGAUACCCGCUGAACUUAAGCAUAUCAAUAAGCGGAGGAAAAGAAACCAACAGGGAUUACCUCAGUAACGGCGAGUGAAGCGGUAACAGCUCAAAUUUGAAAUCUGGUCCUUUCAGGGCCCGAGUUGUAAUUUGUAGAAGAUGCUUCGAGCGUGGCACCGGUCUAAGUUCCUUGGAACAGGACGUCAUAGAGGGUGAGAAUCCCGUAUGCGACUGGCCGCCUUUGUUCAUGUGAAGCUCUUUCGACGAGUCGAGUUGUUUGGGAAUGCAGCUCAAAAUGGGUGGUAUAUUUCAUCUAAAGCUAAAUAUUGGCCAGAGACCGAUAGCGCACAAGUAGAGUGAUCGAAAGAUGAAAAGCACUUUGGAAAGAGAGUUAAACAGUACGUGAAAUUGUUGAAAGGGAAGCGCUUGCAACCAGACUUGCACGCUGCCGAUCAUCUGGGGUUCUCCCCAGUGCACUCGGUAACGUUCAGGCCAGCAUCGGUUUGGGUGGUUGGAUAAAGGCCUUGGGAACGUAGCUCCUCUCGGGGAGUGUUAUAGCCCUCGGUGCAAUGCAGCCUACCCGGACCGAGGACCGCGCUUCGGCUAGGAUGCUGGCGUAAUGGUUGUAAGCGACCCGUCUUGAAACACGGACCAAGGAGUCUAACAUCUAUGCGAGUGUUUGGGUGUCAAACCCAUACGCGUAAUUAACGUGAACGGAGGUAAGAACCCUUAAGGGUGCAUUAUCGACCGAUCCUGAUGUCUUCGGAUGGAUUUGAGUAAGAGCAUAGCUGUUGGGACCCGAAAGAUGGUGAACUAUGCCUGAAUAGGGUGAAGCCAGAGGAAACUCUGGUGGAGGCUCGCAGCGGUUCUGACGUGCAAAUCGAUCGUCAAAUUUGGGUAUAGGGGCGAAAGACUAAUCGAACCAUCUAGUAGCUGGUUCCUGC
This 1423-nucleotide unclassified non-coding RNA is filed under the name uncultured fungus. RNAcentral's name for it is "sequence contains 18S rRNA gene, ITS1, 5.8S rRNA gene, ITS2, 28S rRNA gene". The stretch from base 481 to 1423 matches the Rfam family "Eukaryotic large subunit ribosomal RNA", at positions 1 to 961 of the family's 3401-position model. Lineage: Eukaryota; Fungi. The record is from RNAcentral.